UGCGUAGGCGGUUUUCUAAGUUUGGUGUGAAAUCUCCCGGCUUAACUGGGAGGGUGCGCCGAAGACUGGAAGGCUUGAGUAUGGGAGAGGUAAGCGGAAUUCCUGGUGUAGCGGUGAAAUGCGUAGAUAUCAGGAGGAACACCUGCGGUGUAGACGGCUUACUGGACCAUAACUGACGCUGAGGCACGAAAGCGUGGGUAAGCAAACA
RNAcentral lists this ribosomal RNA (208 nucleotides) under uncultured bacterium. RNAcentral's name for it is "partial 16S ribosomal RNA". It matches the Rfam family "Bacterial small subunit ribosomal RNA", at positions 568 to 774 of the family's 1533-position model. The record is from RNAcentral.